This 58-nucleotide transfer RNA is filed under the name Dryobates pubescens (Downy woodpecker). RNAcentral describes it as "Picoides pubescens (downy woodpecker) tRNA". It matches the Rfam family "tRNA", at positions 8 to 63 of the family's 71-position model. Rfam says of the family: Transfer RNA (tRNA) molecules are approximately 80 nucleotides in length. Their secondary structure includes four short double-helical elements and three loops (D, anti-codon, and T loops). The record is from Rfam by way of RNAcentral. Lineage: Eukaryota; Metazoa; Chordata; Aves; Piciformes; Picidae.
UAGCUCAGUUGGUAGAGCAUGAGUCUCUCAACCUCAGGGUUGUGGGUUUGAGCCCCAC